RNAcentral lists this ribosomal RNA (521 nucleotides) under uncultured Methanosaeta sp. Its description in RNAcentral is "bacterial SSU rRNA". It matches the Rfam family "Archaeal small subunit ribosomal RNA", at positions 380 to 901 of the family's 1478-position model. Lineage: Archaea; Methanobacteriati; Methanobacteriota; Methanomicrobia; Methanotrichales; Methanotrichaceae. The record is from RNAcentral.
CUCGAGUGCCAGGUUACAAAUCUGGCUGUCGUGAUGCCUAAAAAGCAUUGCAUAGCAAGGGCCGGGCAAGACCGGUGCCAGCCGCCGCGGUAACACCGGCGGCUCGAGUGGUAACCGUUAUUAUUGGGUCUAAAGGGUCUGUAGCCGGCCGGAUAAGUCUCUUGAGAAAUCCAGCAGCUCAACUGUUGGGCUUUCAGGAGAUACUGUCUGGCUCGAGGCCGGGAGAGGUGAGAGGUACUUCAGGGGUAGGGGUGAAAUCUUGUAAUCCUUGAAGGACCACCAGUGGCGAAGGCGUCUCACCAGAACGGACCUGACGGCAAGGGACGAAAGCUAGGGGCACGAACCGGAUUAGAUACCCGGGUAGUCCUAGCCGUAAACGAUACUCGCUAGGUGUCGGCCACGGUGCGACCGUUGUCGGUGCCGUAGGGAAGCCGUGAAGCGAGCCACCUGGGAAGUACGGCCGCAAGGCUGAAACUUAAAGGAAUUGGCGGGGGAGCACCACAACGGGUGGAGCUUGCGGU